Poecilia latipinna (sailfin molly) is the source of this 2436-nucleotide long non-coding RNA. RefSeq lists it as uncharacterized. The transcript has 5 exons. The record is from RefSeq and is a predicted model, not a curated record. Lineage: Eukaryota; Metazoa; Chordata; Actinopteri; Cyprinodontiformes; Poeciliidae.
UGGCAGUGCUGAUGUCUCGCUCUAAAAAACACGUGUUUACUCAUGGUGAACAAAAAAACCCUGCAGCAGCUGAAAAGAAAGUUGUCCAGACGUGAUCCCUCAACGAUGCAUGUGUGAUACAGGUUUGUUCUGCAUUCAGGUCUUCCCAUCAUCCCAUGGACUCUGACCAAGGUGCUGCAGCAUGACGCCUACACCACCUUGUUUCAGAAUGGAAAUUGUGUGCUUAGAAUAAUGCAUGGUAUUCAUUUUGCUCAACACAUAUGUGCAGACUGUCUAUGAGAUGUGUCUAAAGAUUCUUCCAGAGGAGCUGUGGAUCUCUGCAGCUCCUCUUGAGUUACCACUGGCAUCUGUGACGCUCCUCUGAUAAAGGACUCUUUCCUGACCCAUCAGAGUAGUCAAGUGCUGCAUGUGAAACUCCUUGCAACGUGCAGAACAAUCAAAUCUCUGCCGUGACAAGUGGUGCGUUCUCCUAUGCCCCCACUGGCCUGCUAUCGACUCGCAGCUCUCUCUCACACCCCAGCUUCCCCCCUUCCCGCCUCCUGCUGUCUCAACAAUUAAAUCAGUCAAGCUGACUCUCUUUCCUGUGUGCUGGGGGCCAGCAGAGGGGAAGUACACAAGGAAAGAAAAGCACUCCCUGAGUUCAAGUGCACAGGCUUUAAAGACACAGCUGGCUUCAGCAAACCGGACCAAUCGACGAGGGAAAAUCAGCCGUGGAAGAGCAGAAUAAUACACCGCUGACAACGUGGUGGUGUACGUGGAGGCGGUAUGGGAAUUGUCUUAUAAAGAGAUGAGAUAUUUGAAAAAAAGAAAAAAAAGAAAAAGAAAAUCCCAACAGGAAAACUGAGGAAAAAUGUCUCCUCCCCUUUUUUUUUUUUUCUCCAUAUAUACUCCCUCCCACCUUGGGCUCCCUCCCUCGCUCUCUCCUUCGUUUCUAUCCUGCAUACAUAUACACACUCCCACAAACACGAUGACUGAUGUCUUUCCCUUCUCCAGCCCGCUCCGAUUUUCUCAGCAGCCCUUUCUGCAGCUCCAAGACUUUCCAUUUGUUCUCGGGUGAAGCAUCCGGUGGAACUGGUUGUGCAGAGCUCUGGCACAUGUUGUCCCAGAUACACACUCAGCAGCAGUGGAUCAGCGUGCCUCUCACUUUACCGCCUGUGACUUUAUCCGCUGCCUUUCCCCUCCAGCGCUCCUCCUCGCAGGACCGACUUCCUUUGUCCAUAAGGCAUGUUUUCCUUUCAAAGUGCUGAAUGCCAAGGGGAUGAAGAACAGACAAAUGGUGCUUGCGGAGAAGAUGGGGAGGCAUCAGUGGAUAAAAUCUGACACUACUUGAGUGCCGUGGAGAUGCCAGAGUGCAAAACGACUUAAAAAAAAACCCCACAAACGAGACUAAGAAUGAGGGAACGGAGAGAAAGAAUCAGAUUGGAAUCGGGAAAGAAGAAACUUUGGAAAAAAGGUAAAAAAAAGAGAAUAAAUUAACUAAUAACAGUUUAUUGUGAGCUUGAUUUACAAGAAAUACAUUCGUAGCUCUGUGUUUUCUGUGUUUUCUGGUUUUCGCUGUGUGCGUUUUUGUGUUCUCGGCUCUGUUUGGUUUUGUCCUUUACCUCCCUCCCGCCUUGCAACGUUUUCCCACGAGUCCCAGCUGUUGUCCCCUAGCUGAAAAGGCACGUUUGCUCAAAGAAAACUUGUAUAAAAUAAGUUCAGUUCUAGCUGAUGGCUUGGCGUUGGUGCUGGGGCCCAGACAGGAACGAUGAAGGAGAAGGAAGAGUAAAAUUUUGCUGCUCUGUUAUUCUUUCCCUUGUAAAUUGCUACUCCGCUAUCUCGGUGUCCUGUGAGUGGUUUUGGACUUGUGUUACUUAUUCUACUUUCUGCUGAUAUGAAUCUGAAGAAUGACACAAAGUAUUCGAAUCAUUCGUCCGUCAUCCUCCCCGCCUCGAAAUCGACGCGGCCCACCCCUCUACUUCCCGUCUCUGUUUGUUUUCGGUCUCAGUAUGCAUUCCCCGUUAUACGGCUACAAACUAAACAUCAUCUCUGUUCUUCUAAACAUCCACAAACAUUGAAAGUAGCAGUCUGAAUCCCCCAACGCUUUGUGCCCAAGCCUACACAUGACAUGAUGAAGUGUGUUUGCAAACCUCCCUCCAUUGUUUCAUAGGGACAGACGUUUUUGAGGAAACCUUCUCAUCUUCGUUGAUGCUCCUCAUAAGAUUGCCCAUCUUCAUCUCCAAAUGUAACAAGUUCUCGCUCUAUAUUUGAACUCUCAAUGAUUGGUGCUCUGCCAUCUGCCGCCAUUUGGCAAAGAGCAAGUGUGGGGUGUGUUCUGAUCAGUGGAUCAAAAAUUAUCAAGUAACGUUCGCUCGAUGAUUUCAAUAGACGGUGCUAACGAGAUCGAACUCCAGCCGAAAAUAAUGAAAUAAAGCAGACAUUGUUACAACGAUCUAA